CCCUUAGAUGUUCUGGGCCGCACGCGCGCUACACUGUUCGACGCAGCGAGUCUUAACCUUGACCGAAAGGUUUGGGUAAUCUUCAGCAAAGUCGAACGUGAUGGGGAUCGAUUAUUGAAAUUAUUAAUCUUGAACGAGGAAUUCCUAGUAAACGCAGAUCAUCAAUCUGCAUUGAUUACGUCCCUGCCCUUUGUACACACCGCCCGUCGCACCUACCGAUUGGAUGGUCCGGUGAAGCCUCGGGAUUGUGGUUCUUGCCGCUUUAUUGUGGCGUGACCGCGAGAACUUGUCUAAACCUUAUCAUCUAGAGGAAGGUGAAGUCGUAACA
RNAcentral lists this ribosomal RNA (328 nucleotides) under uncultured eukaryote. Its description in RNAcentral is "partial 18S ribosomal RNA". It matches the Rfam family "Eukaryotic small subunit ribosomal RNA", at positions 1470 to 1796 of the family's 1831-position model. The record is from RNAcentral.